AGUCUUUGAUAUUGUAAGUCGCUCUGGAUAAGAGCGUCUGCUAAAUGACUUAAA
Salmo salar (Atlantic salmon) is the source of this 54-nucleotide non-coding RNA. The record is from Rfam. Lineage: Eukaryota; Metazoa; Chordata; Actinopteri; Salmoniformes; Salmonidae.